This 400-nucleotide ribosomal RNA is filed under the name uncultured bacterium. RNAcentral describes it as "bacterial SSU rRNA". It matches the Rfam family "Bacterial small subunit ribosomal RNA", at positions 355 to 754 of the family's 1533-position model. The record is from RNAcentral.
UGAGGAAUAUUGGUCAAUGGGGGCAACCCUGAACCAGCGACGCCGCGUGAAGGAUGACAGGGCUUUGCCCCGUAAACUUCUGUCGGGAGGGAAAAAAGGACUGUUUGGCGGUCUGGGAUUGUACCUCUAAAGGAAGCACCGGCUAACUACGUGCCAGCAGCCGCGGUAAUACGUAGGGUGCAAACGUUGUCCGGAAUUACUGGGUGUAAAGGGUGCACAGGCGGUUUUGUGCGUCAGAGGUAAAAUCCCACAGCUCAACUGUGGACCUGCCUUUGAUACGGCGAGACUUGAGUACAAGAGAGGAUGAUAGAAUUCCUGGUGUAGCGGUGAAAUGCGUAGAUAUCAGGAGGAAUACCAGUGGCGAAGGCGGUCAUCUGGCUUGUAACUGACGCUUAAGCAC